GACGAACGCUGGCGGCGUGCCUAAUACAUGCAAGUCGAACGAACCGCGACUAAGUGCUUGCACUAAGUCAAGGUGAGUGGCGAACGGGUGAGUAACACGUGGGUAACCUACCUCAUAGUGGGGAUAACAGUCGGAAACGACUGCUAAUACCGCAUAGGACAUAGGAUCACAUGAUCCAGUGAGGAAAGGUGGCGCAUGCUAUCGCUAAGAGAUGGACCCGCGGUGCAUUAGCUAGUUGGUAGGGUAAAGGCCUACCAAGGCGAUGAUGCAUAGCCGACCUGAGAGGGUGAUCGGCCACAUUGGGACUGAGACACGGCCCAAACUCCUACGGGAGGCAGCAGUAGGGAAUCUUCCGCAAUGGACGCAAGUCUGACGGAGCAACGCCGCGUGAGUGAAGAAGGUCUUCGGAUCGUAAAGCUCUGUUGUUAGAGAAGAACAGCGCAUAGAGUAACUGCUAUGCGUGUGACGGUAUCUAACCAGAAAGCCACGGCUAACUACGUG
RNAcentral lists this ribosomal RNA (501 nucleotides) under uncultured bacterium. RNAcentral describes it as "partial 16S ribosomal RNA". It matches the Rfam family "Bacterial small subunit ribosomal RNA", at positions 28 to 507 of the family's 1533-position model. The record is from RNAcentral.